UGGAUUCCCUACUUAAAGAAGGCUUGGGCUAGCCAGUGGCACAGUAGGUUGCUGGCAGUACGUAACCACUCAACAGGACCAAGACAGGAACUGUGGCCACCAUCUCCAUUAACUAAGGAGGAAGGCAAGGCUCUGGGAUUACUGGAUCCUGCCUACAGUGGUAUGACCAUCAGUGGCAGGUCCAGCUUUCUUAUGACCCCUCUGAGCAUCAUCAUUGCUGCAUUUACUGCUAAUCU
Long non-coding RNA from Tupaia belangeri chinensis (Chinese tree shrew), 236 nucleotides. RefSeq lists it as uncharacterized. The transcript is spliced from 3 exons. The record is from RefSeq and is a predicted model, not a curated record. NCBI's taxonomy places the organism in Eukaryota, Metazoa, Chordata, Mammalia, Scandentia, Tupaiidae.